Molecule: ribosomal RNA, 468 nt
Filed under: uncultured bacterium
Lineage: Bacteria
Description: partial 16S ribosomal RNA
Rfam family: Bacterial small subunit ribosomal RNA
Source: RNAcentral
GACGAACGCUGGCGGCGUGCUUAACACAUGCAAGUCGAACGGAAAGGCCCUGCUUUUGUGGGGUGCUCGAGUGGCGAACGGGUGAGUAACACGUGAGUAACCUGCCCUUGACUUUGGGAUAACUUCAGGAAACUGGGGCUAAUACCGGAUAGGAGCUCCUGCUGCAUGGUGGGGGUUGGAACGUUUCGGCGGGUGGGGAUGGACUCGCGGCUUAUCAGCUUGUUGGUGGGGUAGUGGCUUACCAAGGCUUUGACGGGUAGCCGGCCUGAGAGGGUGACCGGGCACAUUGGGACUGAGAUACGGCCCAGACUCCUACGGGAGGCAGCAGUGGGGAAUAUUGCACAAUGGGCGGAAGCCUGAUGCAGCAACGCCGCGUGCGGGAUGACGGCCUUCGGGUUGUAAACCGCUUUCGCCUGUGACGAAGCGUGAGUGACGGUAAUGGGUAAAGAAGCACCGGCUAACUACGUG